CCGGCGAACGGGUGCGUAACACGUGAGCGACCUGCCGAUCUGCGGGGGAUAGCCGGCCCAACGGCCGGGUAAUACCGCAUACGCUCUUUUGGGGGCAUCCCUGAUUGAGGAAACUUCCGGGGCGGAUCGAGGGGCUCGCGGCCUAUCAGCUAGUUGGGGGGGUAACGGCCUCCCAAGGCGACGACGGGUAGCUGGUCUGAGAGGAUGGCCAGCCACAUUGGGACUGAGAGACGGCCCAG
RNAcentral lists this ribosomal RNA (239 nucleotides) under uncultured bacterium. Its description in RNAcentral is "partial 16S ribosomal RNA". It matches the Rfam family "Bacterial small subunit ribosomal RNA", at positions 95 to 334 of the family's 1533-position model. The record is from RNAcentral.